UUUUUUUUAAUGGUUUUCUUUGUUGUGCAAAAGCUUGUCAGUUUGAUUAGGUCCCGUUGGUUUAUUUUUGCUUUUAUUUCUGUUGCCUUGGGAGACUGAUCUAAGACAACAUUUGUAAGGUUGAUGUCAUAGAAUGUUUUUCCUAUGUUCUUUUCUAGGAGUUUGAUGGUUUCUUGCCUUACGUUUAAGUCUUUAAUCCAGUUCAAGAUUAUUUUUGUGCAUGGUGUGAGAGUACGCUCCAGUUUCAUUGAUUUAAAUGCAUCUGUCCAGUUUUGCCAGCACCACUUGUUGAAGAGACUGUCUUUUCCCCACUAAUACUCUUGCCUCCUUUGUUGAAGAUUAACUGACCAUAGGUGUCCAGUUAUUUCUGGUUUCUCUAUUCUGUUUCAUUGGUCUGCACGUCUGUUUUUGUACCGGGAUUACACUGUUUUGAUUACCGUAGCUUUGUAAUACUGUCUGAAGUCUGGGAGAGUUAUGCCUCCUUAGUUUUUAUUCCUCAGGAUUGCUUUGGCAAUCCUGGGUCUUUUGUGGUUCCAUAUAAAUUUUUGGACUGUUUGUUCUAAUUCUGUGAAAAAUGUCAUGAGUAGUUUGAUAAGAAUUGCAUUGAAUCUGUAGAUUGCUUUGGGUAGUAUGGUCAUUUUAACAAUAUUAAUUCUUCCAAUCCAGGAGCAUGGAAUAUUUUUCCAUUUCUUUGCAUCCUCUUUAAUUUCCUUGAUUAAUGUUUUAUAGUUCUCAGCAUAUAAGUUUUUCACCUCCUUAGUCAAGUUUAUUCCUAGUUAUUUAAAAUUUUGCAGUGUGAUUUUAAAAGGUAGUGUAUUUUUAUUCUCCUUUUCUAAUAUUUCAUUGUUAAUAUACAGAAAUGCAAUCAAUUUCUGAAUGUUAAUCUUGUAUCCUGCUGCUUUGUUGAAUUCAUUGCUCAGUUUGAGUAGUUUUUUUUUUGUGAGGACUUCUUAGGGUUUUCUAUAAGUAAUAUCAUGUCAUCUGCACAGAGCGACAAUUUUACCUCUUCUCUUCCAAUUUGGAUACAUUUUAUUUCUUUUGUUUGUCUGACUGCUGUGGUUAGAACUUCCAAUUCUAUGCUGAAUAAAAGUGGUGAGAGUGGGCAUUCUUAUCAGAUUUUAGCAGGAAGGCUUUCAGCUUUUCUCUGUUGAGUAUUAUAUUGGCUGUGGGUUUGUCAUAAAUACAUUUUAUUAUGUUAAGAUAUGUUCCCUCUAUACCCACUUUGAUAAGAGUUUUUAUCAUGAAUGGAUAUUGGAUUUUGUUAAAUGCUUUUUCUGCAUAUAUGGAGAUGAUCAUGUGGUUUUUGACUUUUCUUUUGUUAAUGUGGUGUAUGACUGAUUGAUUUGUGUAUGUUGAACCACCCUUGUGAACCUGGGAUGAAUCCCACUUGGUCAUGGCAUAUGAAAUUUUUAAAUGUUGUUAGAUUCAGUUGGCUAAAAUUUUGUUGAGAAUUUUUAUGUCUAUAUUCAUCAAAUAUACUGGCCUUUAAUUUUCUUUUUUGGUAGUAUCUUUGGUUUUGGUAUUAGGGUGAUGGUGGCUUCAUAGAAUAUCUUUGGGACUAUUCCUUCUUCUUCAAACUUUUGGAAAAGUUAAACAAGGAUGCAUAUAAGUUCUUCUUUGAAUGUUUGGUAGAAUUCACCUGUGAAGCAAUCUGGUCUACUAAAAAACCAAUCGGUCAAUGAGGAAAUCAAAUUUUAUUUUGUUUUUUAUCGAUUCACCCAUCUGUCUAUUCAUUCAUGUGUACACACCCUCACCUAAUUAGCUGAAGGAUUUCAGAACGACAAUGCAACCAGAGAAAUCAUAAAUAUUAUCUUCAUUUUAUAAGUGAACAUAUUGGGGCUCAAAGAGAACUUAUUUGCCUUCAUUAAUUGAUUUUGGAAUCAGGGCCAGAUCUCCAAUUCACAAUUCAAUGCUGUUUUUAUUAUAUUAAAAUUUAAGAUAUUUUGGAAGUUCAAAAUAAUAACCUUCUGUUUCUGUGAUUUCAGAAAACAUUAUCUUCAUUGCUGGUACAAAAUAAUGUGUGUUUCAUAUUCAAUUGCUUUUCUGCAGUUUACUUUUUCCAAGUUGUGUGUUUUGGACUCCUUAGGCUCUGUGAUAACCAACAAAAUUAUAGUUUCUGGCUUUGAAAAUCCACAAGCCUUUGUAAGUACUGGUAAAAGAAUCCUCUGCAAAUAAUACGGAAAAAAUGUUGCAUUUUUUUCCCCUACAGCUUUGGAGAAAAAGCAAACGGCAUUGUGCAUAAUGAAAAUGUUAGCUGCACUUUAGAUAUUGAUGUAAUAUCCUGUGAAAGUAACCCUCAUCCUGUAAAAGGUCUGCUUAUGAUUGGUUGACUUAAAAAUGUUUUGCUGUGGAAAUAAAAUUUAAAUUCCUUUCUGCUCUCUAGAAACUAUAAAUGUGCAUAUCUUUUCAUUUUAAGCCAGAAGGGAAUCACUAGCACUUCCCUUUUCUUACUCUUGCAUGUCAUACAUAUUAUGAUUUGGAUAGAACUCUUUUUUCAAGAAAGAGCUUGAGCAUCCUGUCUCAUAUAAAUGAACAGUGUCCAGAGGCAUCACCUGCUGUUCACAUGCUCUUCGAGGUGAAAGUCCAGAAAAGAAUGGUGUUUCCUUUACUUUUAAGUGUAUUUUUACCUCCACAUACUCAUACAUCUCCAGCCUUAAGUUAUUUUAAAUGUUAGGUUUGCUAUGGUUAUUCCUAAAUGAUGGAUUGAAGUUUGGUAAUUGCAUCUGUCUUCAUGAUCCAUGGGCACUGCUCUGUGGUUGACCCUGUAAGGACCACUGGACUGUGUCUUAGAGGAGCCUGAGAUGGGUAGAUUAGUCAUGCUCUGGUUGGCAUCAUCCUAAAUCUCUUGGGCAUGGCCUUUGCCCCCUCUUCCUGAGACCCUCAAGGAAAUUAUUGCUCCUCUGGCCACAGUUGACAGUCAAUAGAUCCUUGACAGAUAGAUUUAUGUGCGAAUGUUUGAGUGAAAUGUCAGUUCUGUUUCUCCAGGACCACAAGUGUCAGAAAAAUAAAGUACACAGAAUUCUAAAAUGGAAUCACUUAUAAAAACAUACAUGAUAACCACAGAAUUCAGAAAGGAAAGCCUACCAAUCUCUCUAUUGUUAUUGCUUUUACAGGAGAUCAGUGAGUGAAGGGUGAAAGUUGUAAGAGCAGUUGAGUAACCUGGCUCUUUCUAUGCUGUUCUUACCCCAUGCCUGGUUCUAUCACAAUUCUUGUCAUGAUGUGUAAUAAUCAAGGAUUUGCUUUUCCAUGUCUCCUGCAAUGUUGUGCAUCCCUCAAGAGAAAGGACUAUCUAUUGUUUUUUAUACAACUUCAUGACUUAGCACAAUGCCUGGUAUAUAAGGGUAAGGCCAAUAAAUGUUUUUUCUUUUUUUUAAUGGAUGAAUGGGGGAAAAAAGCUUAUGAAAAGAAAAGAAAGAUAUAUGACUUUGUAAAGGUUAAAUGGGCUGUAUAAGGAAGAAAACAUUUACCAAAAAUCUUUGGCCCAGACUAUAGAGACAUUCAGCCAUUCUCUCAUCUUGGAGUGAAAUCUAAUAGAAACUCUACCCUCCUGAGUAUAAGAGUUAAAUCAUUUAGAGCAGAACUCUUAGAGAAUCAUGUAUAAAAUAAAGAAGCCCAUCUGGUAUCAUAAUAUAAAUAUGUACUUUUGGAAAAAAUAACACAACAUAACACAAAGCACAUCUAUCAUUUUUAUUAUAUAAUCUGCAAAAACUAAAGAUUUACGAAAUCUUUUUGGCCAGGGGGUGUAUGAAAAAGAUUGAUUUUCCCAAGUGGAGGAGUAAAGACCCCAGGAGGGACAUGAGAUUUUUAUGUUUAUCUAACAUGAGCUUAGGUUUUAAAAGGCAAGGAAACAAUAACUUGGCAUAAAUUAUGCUUCUGUUCCUGAGGCUCUCUGCUUGUUCUGAAGAGAUGCACAGUCAAUAAAACCUGAGGGUUCUGUUAAGUGGGGUAAUUUCUAUUAUUCACUCCAACCUGAAGAGCCUGGGGAAAUAGAUACACAACUCAACCAGAUAUCUGAAUUCUCCUUAACUUCUGCAGGAACAUUUAUGAUCCACUUCCUCCAGCCCUAGGCACAGUGCAGAGUUCAAUGCUUCUUCCAUAAUUGGAUCUUCACACAAUUUUCCCUUUUCCUCCAGAGCACAAACCCUUGCAAACCUUCUUCCAGGCACCCUUCUCCUCUUAGCUUGCCAUUUAGCAACUAGAUUUGAAGCCAUCCAAUAUUUUAUUUAUCUACAACUCUAAUUGGUACAGUCCUCUCAAAUUUAUAAGUGCUACUACACACAUAAUCCUUUGAAUAAACAAAGGACCACCAGUUAACUUGAGAACUGUAGGUAAGGUGCAGAAAUUGCCCAUCCAGCAGACCAGCAUGGAGAAGGUUAAUCACCACCGCCUAGUGGACAGGAACCUGAAUCCAAUCAAGUGUCUCCACUAGUUUAGUAGUUUAAGUGAUACCACAGAGACUCCAUCAGCUGAAUGAGAGAAAUUUUACAGGAUGAGUGACCUAGUUUAUUUAACAACUGGUAUGGAAGAAGGAGGAGGAGUCACUUUAUAGAUGAAAAGAGACUUAGGGAUGUGUUAAUCAUAUGCAACUUGUGGAUACUGCCUGGAUCCCAAUAUAAACAAACCAACUACCAAAAGACCUUUUCGGACAAUCUGGGAAAUUUAAAAACAAUCUGAAUAUAAGAUGAUACUAAGGAAUUAUUGUUAAUUCUUUUAGUUAAUCUUAAAUUUAUUUUAAAAUGAUUAUUGCUGGAGUUCUUUAGUGGCCUAGCAGGUUAAAGAUCCAGUGAUGU
This 4790-nucleotide long non-coding RNA is filed under the name Sus scrofa (pig). RNAcentral describes it as "lncRNA (ENSSSCG00065056392.1)". The record is from RNAcentral. Lineage: Eukaryota; Metazoa; Chordata; Mammalia; Artiodactyla; Suidae.